This is a non-coding RNA of Onthophagus taurus, 389 nucleotides long. NCBI's taxonomy places the organism in Eukaryota, Metazoa, Arthropoda, Insecta, Coleoptera, Scarabaeidae. The record is from RefSeq and is a predicted model, not a curated record.
GUUUUUUUUUAAUUUCUAUAUUAGGUUUUACUUCGAAUCAGAACAAGGAUUAUUUCCAAACACGGAAUUUGUGUUUGACGUAGAACUGCCGGUGGAUUUUGUUCCAAAAAAUGCUGACGGCGAAGUGCAAAAGUUCGAACUCCUGCCUGCGAAAAAAUGUUUAGAAAGGUUAUUUAGUUCAGAUUUUAAAACAACUAGUAUACCGGUCGCGUUAGAUUUUUUGUUACGUCACGGAGUAAUAUCGCCCGAAAACGAAACACAUUAUACAAGGAUAGUAGAAUUACUUCACGUUCCAUUACAAAAAAUAUACAAUAAUCAUCACAUUUGUAAAGAAAACGGUGGCAACGAAGACCAUGUAUAAUAAUAAAUUGGAAGCCGAUAAUAACUUU